CUCAGGAAACUAAGUAAUGGACUGGAAGUCAUAUAUGACUUGAAAGCUUUCUUCCUAACUGUUAUGUGAAUCUGAUAAAUACUCCACUAUCGUUUCUCCAUCAAUUCCUCCUUCUCACCAACAGGAGGAAAUGGUUCUGGCUCAAUUCAUGGGAUUUCUUGGGGAAGUUUCAAUAGACUAAUGGACUCCAACAGAAAAGUUUGUUCCAACUGAGAUCUUUCACAAAAUGUUUCAUGAUACCGUCACUCUUGCCCAGUUCUGAAUCCAAUCAAAACUUAGUAAAACAUUUUAUUUCAUCCAUUAAUGACAGAAAGGAAUAAAAGAGAAAGACCUUAUAAUUAUACACCAAAUCUAGCAGAAGGAGUAAUGGAUCUCCAUUUUUCUGAGAGGUGAAAGUUGUCUGGGAUUGCUGCCAAAGAAGCUCUGAAGAGAAAGGCCACAUCAACUAUGCUGAACAGAAAGAGAGAACUAUGCUGUAAAAUCAUCGAGCGACCCAAAUAAAAUGAUACAGAGAAUCUU
Long non-coding RNA from Gorilla gorilla gorilla (western lowland gorilla), 519 nucleotides. RefSeq lists it as uncharacterized. The transcript has 3 exons. NCBI's taxonomy places the organism in Eukaryota, Metazoa, Chordata, Mammalia, Primates, Hominidae. The record is from RefSeq and is a predicted model, not a curated record.